Molecule: ribosomal RNA, 253 nt
Filed under: uncultured bacterium
Lineage: Bacteria
Description: partial 16S ribosomal RNA
Rfam family: Bacterial small subunit ribosomal RNA
Source: RNAcentral
UACGGGGGGGGCAAGCGUUGUUCGGAAUUACUGGGCGUAAAGGGCUCGUAGGCGGCCAACUAAGUCAGACGUGAAAUCCCUCGGCUUAACCGGGGAACUGCGUCUGAUACUGGAUGGCUAGAGGUUGGGAGAGGGAUGCGGAAUUCCAGGUGUAGCGGUGAAAUGCGUAGAUAUCUGGAGGAAUACCGGUGGCGAAGGCGGCAUCCUGGACCGGCAUUGACGCUGAGGAGCGAAAGCUAGGGGAGCAAACGGG